UGGGGAAUAUUGGACAAUGGGCGCAAGCCUGAUCCAGCAAUGCCGCGUGAGUGAUGAAGGCCUUAGGGUUGUAAAGCUCUUUCAAUGGGGAAGAUAAUGACGGUACCCAUAGAAGAAGCCCCGGCUAACUCCGUGCCAGCAGCCGCGGUAAUACGGAGGGGGCUAGCGUUAUUCGGAAUUACUGGGCGUAAAGAGCGCGUAGGCGGUUUAUUAAGUUGGAAGUGAAAGCCCAGGGCUUAACCUUGGAACUGCUUUCAAAACUGGUAAGCUAGAGAUUGAUAGGGGAUAGCGGAAUUCCUAGUGUAGAGGUGAAAUUCUUAGAUAUUAGGAGGAACACCGGAGGCGAAGGCGGCUAUCUGGAUCAACACUGACGCUGAGGCGCGAAAGCGUGGGGAGCAAA
RNAcentral lists this ribosomal RNA (400 nucleotides) under uncultured bacterium. RNAcentral describes it as "bacterial SSU rRNA". It matches the Rfam family "Bacterial small subunit ribosomal RNA", at positions 355 to 772 of the family's 1533-position model. The record is from RNAcentral.